CUGGUUUUAGGUUGUCCUCCUUGGCCCGUGAACACCAGCUGUAAACAAAACAACUCUAGUUGAGCAUUCUGAUGUUGCUAUGACUACUUUUGGUGUCAUAUCAGUGGAUAUAAAUGAUGUCAUAAACGGUUUUGUGUUGUGCAGGGAAAGUCAAUGCUACAGUGUCAAGCAUGCAAAAUGUGCAUUCUAUUAACAGUCACUCACCCAAUCAAUGUGCAAUGAAUGAUAUCAAUGUAGCAUUGAUUGAUAGAUUCCUAAAUGUAUCCCAAGUACUGAUUUCAUAUCAAACAAGAGUUUUUUUUUUUCGUUUUGUUUUUUUACUACUGUAGUAGUGUUUCACAUUCAUCUAAAUAAAUACCGGUUCUUACAUUUAUACUGGGAAUAGACUAUACCUUUAAAUACUCUGCCAGAAUAUAAUGUGACCCUACAAUUGUGCCAUCCAAGAAACUCCCCACCAGAUAUACAUUAACAUUAAUAUGAGGCCAAAACCUAUAAAAUGUACCUAAAGAAACACUUUAACAUUUAGGAGUCAAACAUUUUUCUCACUAUCUAGAUUUAUCCCCAUCCCCCCUACCCUAAAAAAAACUUUAAAUUUAAAAAGAAAUAAGAUUGUCUUAGCUUUAGUUCCAUAAUGUGACGGUUUCUGUUUUCACCGCGGAUGCCAAUUCUCUACGGCUAAAGUUAUCUUUACAGAUGAAGCAAUCAAAUGCUUCUCCAUUAAGCUGUAGUGGUCCUGGUGCUUACAGUGUCCCUUUAAAUUGGUUUGUUGCCCUACGUGUGCCUGGAACGUUCUUUCCAGAGUCGUACUGUUGUUUGUGCGUCAACAAAUUUAGUGAUGUAUUUCCGUCCAUUUAAAGCUGUAGUGGAGUCCUUUAUUUUGCGAGAUUUUCUUUGGCUGUGGUUCUGGUGGCUCCUUCUGGUAUUGCUGAUCCAUUUGUCAUUUAUUUCCUCACAUCCUGGCUUUUAUUUUUUCUCCUUUUUCUCUUCAGUUGUCCAGUUGUUUGGAUAUGAAAUCUCCAUUCCAUUCACCAAAAUGUAUCCCU
Molecule: non-coding RNA, 1043 nt
Organism: Pelobates cultripes (western spadefoot toad)
Lineage: Eukaryota; Metazoa; Chordata; Amphibia; Anura; Pelobatidae
Source: the annotation of a GenBank genome assembly